This 1250-nucleotide long non-coding RNA is filed under the name Homo sapiens (human). RNAcentral's name for it is "HSALNT0324996". Lineage: Eukaryota; Metazoa; Chordata; Mammalia; Primates; Hominidae. The record is from RNAcentral.
CCGCCUUCCGGCGCCUGCGGUUGCCCCCUGGCCUCAGCCGGUGGGCUCCAAGUAGGAAGAUAAACCGCAUUGCAGGAAGCGGGAGAGUCCGGAGGAGCGGCGAAGCGCUCCUCUUCCCCAUUGGCUGCGCCCAGGGAGCCGCCUUGAGAUUGGCCAUAAGCGCCGGUGGCGGGGGUCGCGAGAGGCGUCAGGAUCCCUGGCGCCGCCUGAGCCAGCGGCUGCUAGGAGGCUGUGUCCGCAAGCCAGCGGGGCGAGGCACCUGGGGCCUGCGCGUCAGGUCCCGGCCUGGGGCACCGGGGCUGCCAGCGUCGGAGGAGAUGAUAGUGUCGAACCAAGUGAAACAAAGAAAGAAGAUCUGAAUGACAAAGAGAAAAAAGAUGAAGACGAAACUCCUGCACCUGUAUAUAGGGCCAAGUCAAUUCUGGAGACCUGGGCGUGGGGCAAGCAACCAGGUAAUCUUCUGAGUUUUGGCACUUUGGAAAGCUUGAUCUGACGCUCCUUUUCUAAAUAACUUGGAUGGAUUAUUUGUAUUUUUUGGUAACAAUUUUAAAAAAUGUAAUUAAAAAAAUUUAAAUAUUGUGGUAAAAUAUACAUACCGUAAAACUUGCCAUUUUAAUCAUUUUUAUGUGUACAGUUCAUUGGCAUUAAGUAUAUUCACAUUAUUGCCCAGCCGUCACCACCAUCCAUCUCUACAACUUUUGCCCUUUCUCCAACUGAAACUCCGUAUCCAUGAAACACUAACUCCUUCUGUCCCCAAGCAACCACCAUUCUACUUUUGUCUCAGAAUUUGACUACUCAAGGUGUCUCCUAUAAGGGGAAUCAUACAGUAUUUGUCCUUUUGUGACUGGGUUAUUGAACUUGUUAGGUGUUUGGGGUUCAUCCGCAUGUGUCAAAAUUUUCUUUUAAAGGCUCAAUGCUAUUCCAUUAUAUAUGUAAGCCACAUGUUAUCCCUUCAUCAGUGGGCAAUCAGGUUGCUUUCAUCUCUUGACUGUUGUGAGUAAUGCUGCUAUCAACAUUGGUUUACCAGUGUCUUGAGUGUCUGCUUUUAAUUCUUUGUGUCUAUACCUAGGAGUGGAAUUGGUCAAUAAUGUGGAAUGCUUACAUAUUUAUUUUUUUUGAGAUGGCAUCUCGCUCUGUCGCCCAGGCUGGAGUGCAGUGGCGCCAUCUCAGCUCACAGCAAGCUCCGCCUCUCGGGUUCACGCAAUUCUCCUGCCUCAGCUUCCUGAGUAGCUGGGACUACAGGCGCCCGC